ACACGUUUGACCCAGAGAAAACGGUCCCAGACAGCAGCAGAUCUGUCAACAGGACAGACAUACUCACAGUGGACUGUCUGUUCAAUGAGGAUACAGGAUUAUUGGAGUGUCCGAAGAAUUCAGAUGCAGCUGACAAAACUGUGAACUGGUUACUACAACAGGGGGCAAUAGGCAUCACGAUAUCACCAUGUCAACACAAAUCAUCUAGCUUUACAGAUUUAUUGACAUUUUUCACACCGG
Molecule: long non-coding RNA, 240 nt
Organism: Sinocyclocheilus rhinocerous
Lineage: Eukaryota; Metazoa; Chordata; Actinopteri; Cypriniformes; Cyprinidae
Exons: 3
Source: RefSeq, a predicted model, not a curated record